ACGUAGGGGGCAAGCGUUGUCCGGAUUUACUGGGUGUAAAGGGUGCUCAGGCGGGUUUGUAAGUCAGUGGUGAAAUCCCGGAGCUUAACUCCGGAACUGCCAUUGAUACUGCAAGCCUAGAGAUCGGGAGAGGUUGAUGGAAUAUCUGGUGUAGCAGUGAAAUGCGUAGAUAUCAGAUAGAACACCAAUGGCGAAGGCAGUCAACUGGCCCGAUUCUGACGCUAAAGCACGAAAGUGUGGGUAGCAAACAG
Molecule: ribosomal RNA, 251 nt
Filed under: uncultured prokaryote
Description: partial 16S ribosomal RNA
Rfam family: Bacterial small subunit ribosomal RNA
Source: RNAcentral